UUUCCGGUUGAUCCUGCCGGAGGCCACUGCUAUGGGGGUCCGACUAAGCCAUGCGAGUCAUGGGGCGCGCUCUGCGCGCACCGGCGGACGGCUCAGUAACACGUCGGUAACCUACCCUCGGGAGGGGGAUAACCCCGGGAAACUGGGGCUAAUCCCCCAUAGGCCUGAGGUACUGGAAGGUCCUCAGGCCGAAAGGGCGUAAGCCGCCCGAGGAUGGGCCGGCGGCCGAUUAGGUAGUUGGUGGGGUAACGGCCCACCAAGCCGAAGAUCGGUACGGGCCAUGAGAGCGGGAGCCCGGAGAUGGACACUGAGACACGGGUCCAGGCCCUACGGGGCGCAGCAGGCGCGAAACCUCCGCAAUGCGGGCAACCGCGACGGGGGGACCCCCAGUGCCGUGGCAACGCCACGGCUUUUCCGGAGUGUAAAAAGCUCCGGGAAUAAGGGCUGGGCAAGGCCGGUGGCAGCCGCCGCGGUAAUACCGGCGGCCCGAGUGGUGGCCGCUAUUAUUGGGCCUAAAGCGUCCGUAGCCGGGCCCGUAAGUCCCUGGCGAAAUCCCACGGCUCAACCGUGGGGCUUGCUGGGGAUACCGCGGGCCUUGGGACCGGGAGAGGCCGGGGGUACCCCUGGGGUAGGGGUGAAAUCCUAUAAUCCCAGGGGGACCGCCAGUGGCGAAGGCGCCCGGCUGGAACGGGUCCGACGGUGAGGGACGAAGGCCAGGGGAGCGAACCGGAUUAGAUACCCGGGUAGUCCUGGCUGUAAAGGAUGCGGGCUAGGUGUCGGGCGAGCUUCGAGCUCGCCCGGUGCCGAAGGGAAGCCGUUAAGCCCGCCGCCUGGGGAGUACGGCCGCAAGGCUGAAACUUAAAGGAAUUGGCGGGGGAGCACCACAAGGGGUGGAGCCUGCGGCUUAAUUGGAGUCAACGCCGGAA
Molecule: ribosomal RNA, 926 nt
Filed under: uncultured archaeon
Lineage: Archaea
Description: bacterial SSU rRNA
Rfam family: Archaeal small subunit ribosomal RNA
Source: RNAcentral